Molecule: non-coding RNA, 1099 nt
Organism: Danio rerio (zebrafish)
Lineage: Eukaryota; Metazoa; Chordata; Actinopteri; Cypriniformes; Danionidae
Source: the annotation of a RefSeq genome assembly
UUGGAUCCACACCUCUGUUUCCACCUAAACACAUUACAAUAUGCGUAAUCUGUUAUUUGUUGUGUGCUGGUAAACUUCACACCAACAUUGCCCGAUGUACAUCAAUGUUCAUCUGGCUCAGAAAGAAUUUGUUUUUUUAUAUCUUCUGACAGUGAAAUACUCAAGAUUCAGUUAAUAAGCUUCGCUGCACUUACAGCACCAGUGAUCAAUACGAUCAAUACACAACGUUUUUCUCCCUGUUGUUAUAAAAUGAACUGAGUGGAGCAGUGGGUGGAGUUUAUUCACACUGCUCAGAGUGAAAGAGUUCAGUCAAACACUGUUUCUGCAUCACUGACUCUAUGAAGACAACAUGUUUCUCUUCACCUGCAUUAUAAUACAGCUUUACAUGGGAAUUUCAAUUGCAGAUGAAAUACAUCCCCUGUCUACAGACAAACAUGUAGCUGAAGGUCAAAAUGUGACUCUGUCUUGUAAUUACAGCACCAGUACUGGCACUGUUAACUCUCUCCAGUGGUAUCGCCAGUAUCCAGGAGCAAAACCAGAGUUUUUACUUUCUCUAAAUGAAUAUUCAAACAGCUCUAAACCUGAUCUUCGUCUGGUUUCAAACGCUGUAAAAGCACUGAAGCGUGUGGAUCUGCUGCUCUCCUCUGCUGCAGUAUCAGACUCUGCUGUGUAUUACUGUGCUCUGCAGCCCACAGUCACAGGAAACACAUAAACACUGAACAAAAACCCAAAACAUCAGCAUGCUUGAAUUUGUUAGAUUUAAAGGCUUUAAUAUGUUUGUAAAUUGUUAAACAGUUAUAAUCUUAUUUGGACCUACUAUAUGUUACCUUUAGUCCAGAACACACACUGGUCAAGCAGCAAUGCAAAAACUACAUGAACUGAUCAAGUAGGAAUAUUUGCACAUUAAUAAAAGCCUUUUUGUUCUUUUGAAAAAAAAAUGACAUUGAAACAACCUACAGAAAUGUAUUGUAAAGAAUUUUCUGUGGAAUUUAAAGGUUCUAGAAGGGACAUCAAUGCCAAUAAAGAAUCUUUAUUUUAAGGGUGUAGCAUGUAGCUAACUGCCUAAAGUUACUAUUGUUACAACUGUGCCAAUCAUCCA